RNAcentral lists this long non-coding RNA (205 nucleotides) under Salvia miltiorrhiza (redroot sage). RNAcentral's name for it is "long non-coding RNA (SMIL_LNC013262)". The record is from RNAcentral. Lineage: Eukaryota; Viridiplantae; Streptophyta; Magnoliopsida; Lamiales; Lamiaceae.
GGAGAAGGGUCACUUUAUCAUUUAUCUUAACAGAAAAGAGAAGAAAUAAAACAUUUAGAUAUAGUACGAUGUAAAUACCUGCUUUUCAUGGUAUCAUAAUGAAAAUGACACAAAGUUACGGGCCUUAAAAUGCACUAAUUUUGACUGGUUUUGGUUUUGCACGACAACUUUAAAAUCGACAUUAAAAUUAAUAUACGAGCUUAAC